GACGAACGCUGGCGGCGUGCCUAAUACAUGCAAGUAGAACGCUUAAGGAGGAGCUUGCUCUUCUGUAUGAGUUGCGAACGGGUGAGUAACGUGUAGGUAACCUGCCUGGUAGCGGGUGAUAACUAUUGGAAACGAUAGCUAAUACCUCAUAACAGUAGAUGUUGCAUGACAUUUACUUAAAAUGUGCAUUUGCAUCACUACCAGAUGGACCUGCGUUGUAUUAGCUAUUUGGUGGGGUAACGGCUCACCAAGGCGACGAUACAUAGCCGACCUGAGAGGGUGAUCGGCCACACUGGGACUGGGACAAGGCCCAGACUCCUACGGGAGGGAGCAGUAGGGAAUCUUCGGAAAUGGACGGAAGUCCGACCGAGCAAAGCCGCGGGGGCGAAGAAGGUUUUCGGAUCGUAAAGCUAUGUUGUGAGAGAAGAAAGAGUGUGAGGGUGGAAAGUUCACACUGUGACGGUAUCUUACCAGAAAGGGACGGCUAACUACGUG
Molecule: ribosomal RNA, 495 nt
Filed under: uncultured bacterium
Lineage: Bacteria
Description: partial 16S ribosomal RNA
Rfam family: Bacterial small subunit ribosomal RNA
Source: RNAcentral